UACGAAGGGGCCAAGCGCUAUCCGGAUUUAUUGGGCUUAAAGGGUUCGUAGGCGGAAUAUUAAGUCAGUGGUGAAAUCCUACAGCUCAACUGUAGAACUGCCAUUGAUACUGAUGUUCUUGAGUAUAAUUGGAGCUGGCGGAAUGUGUCAUGUAGCGGUGAAAUGCUUAGAUAUGACCAAGAACACCGAUCGCGAAAGCAGCCAACUAAGUUGUAACUGACGCUGAGGAGCGAAAGCGUGGGGAGCGAACAGG
Molecule: ribosomal RNA, 253 nt
Filed under: uncultured bacterium
Lineage: Bacteria
Description: partial 16S ribosomal RNA
Rfam family: Bacterial small subunit ribosomal RNA
Source: RNAcentral